UGCCAGACUCCUACGGGAGGCAGCAGUAAGGGAUAUUGGUCAAUGGGGGAAACCCUGAACCAGCAACGCCGCGUGGGGGAAGACGGUUUUCGGAUUGUAAACCUCUGUCCUCUGUGAAGAUGAUGACGGUAGCAGAGGAGGAAGCUCCGGCUAACUACGUGCCAGCAGCCGCGGUAAUACGUAGGGAGCGAGCGUUGUCCGGAUUUACUGGGUGUAAAGGGUGCGUAGGCGGCUGUGCAAGUCAGUAGUGAAAUCCAUGGGCUUAACCCAUGAACUGCUAUUGAAACUGCACAGCUUGAGUGAAGUAGAGGUAGGCGGAAUUCCCGGUGUAGCGGUGAAAUGCGUAGAGAUCGGGAGGAACACCAGUGGCGAAGGCGGCCUGCUGGACGAUGACUGACGCUGAGGCUCGAAAGCGUGGGGAGCAAACAGGAUUAGAUACCCUCGUAC
Molecule: ribosomal RNA, 447 nt
Filed under: uncultured bacterium
Lineage: Bacteria
Description: partial 16S ribosomal RNA
Rfam family: Bacterial small subunit ribosomal RNA
Source: RNAcentral